Molecule: ribosomal RNA, 461 nt
Filed under: Streptococcus mitis
Lineage: Bacteria; Bacillati; Bacillota; Bacilli; Lactobacillales; Streptococcaceae
Description: bacterial SSU rRNA
Rfam family: Bacterial small subunit ribosomal RNA
Source: RNAcentral
GACGAACGCUGGCGGCGUGCCUAAUACAUGCAAGUAGAACGCUGAAGGAGGAGCUUGCUUCUCUGGAUGAGUUGCGAACGGGUGAGUAACGCGUAGGUAACCUGCCUGGUAGCGGGGGAUAACUAUUGGAAACGAUAGCUAAUACCGCAUAAUAGUAGAUGUUGCAUGACAUUUGCUUAAAAGGUGCAAUUGCAUCACUACCAGAUGGACCUGCGUUGUAUUAGCUAGUUGGUGAGGUAACGGCUCACCAAGGCGACGAUACAUAGCCGACCUGAGAGGGUGAUCGGCCACACUGGGACUGAGACACGGCCCAGACUCCUACGGGAGGCAGCAGUAGGGAAUCUUCGGCAAUGGACGGAAGUCUGACCGAGCAACGCCGCGUGAGUGAAGAAGGUUUUCGGAUCGUAAAGCUCUGUUGUAAGAGAAGAACGAGUGUGAGAGUGGAAAGUUCACACUGUGAC